Molecule: long non-coding RNA, 1955 nt
Organism: Lolium perenne
Lineage: Eukaryota; Viridiplantae; Streptophyta; Magnoliopsida; Poales; Poaceae
Source: RefSeq, a predicted model, not a curated record
AUUGCGCGAUCUCCAGGUCAUCCAACUAGUCAGGAGAAUGAUAGAUUUGAUUCCUUUCUGAAGGGAGGGUUCUACAUUGGAAGAUGUGGCACCGGACCAAGUGUUGAAGGCUUCAUCAGUCGUUGGCAUACAGAUGAGGAUGUUGAGCUAGGCAAACACAUCAUGCUAGAUCUGCUGGGAGAAAGAGCAAUGUGUUAAUAGGUGCGAGAUGGAUUUAGAUUCUUGGUCAAAGAGAAAAGAAGUGUCAUCAUUGUUCAGUCCAUGACGCAUCUUUCAUUAGUCCAGUAAAGAUCCUAAGUUGCUAACCUAGCAAACACCUUGCACUUCAAGGGGGCCCAACAUUCCCAGAUGGAGCUGUUGUGAGGAGAUAUUGUUGGUCUUUCAAACAGCGCAUUAUAAGCAGAUUUAGCAGAGUAAGUACCUGAAGAUCAGAAGUUCCAGGAGGUCAUGCAGAUUGCAUUGGGGUUGCUCAGCUGCUGAUGAAGCAAAAAUAGGCAUGCAUAAACUUUCCAAGGUGAUUUAUCUAGUAUUGUAAUUGUUUAGUAAAUAUUGAAAAGUAUAAUCCAUACCAUUAUUGUCAGGAUUUGCACUUCUGCUGAUGGUAACUUCUCUGCAUCUAGUACCUUCAGGGUAGCCCCGUAUUGUUAUUUUCGAAUCUCCUAAGGGAUGAUGUUGAGAGGUAGUCUCCUUGUGUGAUAGUUCCUGUAUGCACGCAUAAAUUUUAAAUGCUUCUUAUUUACUUGUUGCCUCUCUAAUUACUUUACGAAAUUAUGAUCAUAUAUCCUAUGUAGAAAUUAUUUCGAGAAUUUGAGGGGCUUGAUUUGGCAAAGAUGGUAAGUGUUGCCACUGAAACGGUAUUGCUUAUGAUAUCAUACCUAUGUUUAUUCCAUUUAUUUUCAGAAAAUUUUAACAAGAUACAUUGAACCAAACCUAUAUUAUGUUUACCAUACAAUGUUCACUUUUUUAUGAUUCUGGGCAUGUAAUUUGUAAUAAUAGUCGUAUGAUUGUAAAGAAAGGUCAACAUCUUUCCUUCAAUUAGUUGUGUUAUCACAUCCAUAUUCACUCUAGCAGCACUCAGUUGAGAAUUACUGUUUAUAAUAGCUGCUUAGCCCACAUAGGAUACAACAAUGAACGAUAAUUUGAAUUGUGUUAUUGUUCAGAAUAAAUAGCACUUUUAGUUUCUUGUAUGAUGUGGUUAACUGAAUUUACAGAUUUAUGAUGUUCCUGCUGAAGCUACAGGAACGUCCUCUGGAAUAUUUUAUACAUGAACACUAACCCUUCAUAAGCAAACAAGGACUGCCAGUUCACCUAAACCAAGGGAGAAGUGGAUGCAGUGCACCCUGGUGCAACAGUGGGAGGAAGAGAGAAGUGUAGCCUAAGGAGGCCUGGUGGGUUUUCGAAGAUGAGAUAAAGUAUCUGUUGGAUGAGUGGAACUCCAUCAUGGAUAAAAAAAUGAGUCCUACUUACAGAAAAGGUGAUGAUGAGGAAUCUUUUGUUAAGAAGAGAGCAUGAAAGAGAAAAAGAAGCCAAACUGGCCUAGGAAAGUUUGGAUUUUUCUGGCCAGAUCGAGAUGGAGGUAGCCAGGAGGAAGGGAGCCAUCGCCAUGGGACCCGGCUGGCUGGACAUGUUUCUCUGACUGAUAUUGUCGUGGGUUUGGUACUAGUGAGCUUAUGGUCAAAAGACUGAAGGAAGUCUAGCUCAUGGGUUCUAGUUGAAGUGCCUGACCUGGGAGCAGCUAGCAUUAUAUUAGGUCUUCACCUUGGACCUCUCUAGCUAGACUAGAUAUCAAUCUGCACAGAAUGAACUUGCUAGCAAAAGUGUAUGUUUUGAUUACCCAUUUUGGCGGGGAUUUGCAGUGCUAUCGAUCAGGUUUAACUUUCAUGUACUGUGGUCACUCAACCGUGUAUCUAUGUUUUGCACUAAAAGAUGCGAGUAAAGUUUGAAAUCUUUGGCGA